AAGAAAUAGUUUAAUUUAAAAAUAUUAAUUUUGGAGAUUAGAGAUGAAUAAUAAUUUUUUCUUGAU
This 66-nucleotide transfer RNA is filed under the name Amarygmini sp. ACP-2013. Its description in RNAcentral is "tRNA-Pro". The record is from RNAcentral. Lineage: Eukaryota; Metazoa; Arthropoda; Insecta; Coleoptera; Tenebrionidae.